AAGUCGUAACAAGGUUUCCGUAGGUGAACCUGCGGAAGGAUCAUUAUUGAAUUAAUGUAGAGUUUGGUUGUAGCUGGCUCCUAAUUAAACUUGGGGGCAUGUGCACACCUUUCUCUUUCAUCCCAUACACACCUGUGCACCUGUGAGACAGAUGUUUUGUGGGGGGGAAGGAACUUUAUUGGACCUUCUACUCCCCCUUGACUUCUGUCUACUUAAUUCAUAUAAACUCAAUUUAUUUUAAAACGGAUGUAAUGGAUGUAACACAUCUAAUACUAAGUUUCAACAACGGAUCUCUUGGCUCUC
Molecule: unclassified non-coding RNA, 303 nt
Filed under: Thanatephorus cucumeris
Lineage: Eukaryota; Fungi; Basidiomycota; Agaricomycetes; Cantharellales; Ceratobasidiaceae
Description: partial internal transcribed spacer region
Rfam family: Eukaryotic small subunit ribosomal RNA (bases 1-46)
Source: RNAcentral